RNAcentral lists this ribosomal RNA (235 nucleotides) under uncultured bacterium. Its description in RNAcentral is "partial 16S ribosomal RNA". It matches the Rfam family "Bacterial small subunit ribosomal RNA", at positions 96 to 334 of the family's 1533-position model. The record is from RNAcentral.
UGGCGGACGGGUGAGUAAUGUCUGGGAAACUGCCUGAUGGAGGGGGAUAACUACUGGAAACGGUAGCUAAUACCGCAUAACGUCGCAAGACCAAAGAGGGGGACCUUCGGGCCUCUUGCCGUCGGAUGUGCCCAGAUGGGAUUAGCUAGUAGGUGGGGUAACGGCUCACCUAGGCGACGAUCCCUAGCUGGUCUGAGAGGAUGACCAGCCACACUGGAACUGAGACACGGUCCAG